Long non-coding RNA from Gasterosteus aculeatus aculeatus (three-spined stickleback), 6225 nucleotides. NCBI's taxonomy places the organism in Eukaryota, Metazoa, Chordata, Actinopteri, Perciformes, Gasterosteidae. The record is from Ensembl.
AGUGAAAAGUAGCUUGCAAGCCGAAAAAGUGUGGGGACCCCUGCGUUUCGACCACGGCGUUACACACAUGCCAACGUGAGGUCCAACGUAACCUUAGUGGACCGACCAGUAGAGAACACACGGUACUCCAGAGCCUUGGUGUUGAGAGGUACAGCUCGGUUGGGGACAGAACCCUCCACAAACAGCAGUUUGGUGAGUUGUGAAGACACAAAGAGUUCAUGUUUCUAUCUGGGUUUUCCUCUCUGUGUACAAAGUGACGUAGUUCUCAUGAGAGACUCGUCGGAUUGUGGACGUUUUGUAGCCUCUGGUAGAGACCUCUCAAUCAGCGUGUAGCUCCGCCCUAAAGCAUCCCCUGCUUUAUGUUCUGUUUGACUCUAAAUGGACCAUAAUUUACUAAAUAAACAUCCUGCUGUGUUGAAGAAGACCUAAAAGCAGAAAGAAGCCAUAUAAAUGCGGGAUUCUCUUCCAAUGCCAAUUCCAAUUCCAAAGCCUCCCACAAGCUGUUUUUUGCUGUGCAACAACUACUACUCCUCCUCCCCCACCUGAUCCUCGUAGGCCGCAACAACUACCCCCCCUCCUCCCCCCGUCGACCUGUUAUUUAGUUGUGUUUAUCAGCCACACCUUCAAGACCUUCCGCAAAAUAUUGUCUAACAUGAAACCGGUCCGUAAGGCCAAAAAGGUUGAGGACCGCUGCUCUAGAGGAAGUCUUCGUAGUGACGUAGUUCACGCAAUAAAAGAUAAAAGACCACCAGGUGGUUGUGGACUCGUCUUCACAGCCGUCCACUUGUUAUCCUGGGGGAUGUCCAGAUGUUCCAGAGCAACAGCUGGGAACAAGCAGUCCUUUAAGACAAAAUAAUCCCUGUUAUUUUUAACCUUGAAUUAACCUCUACCAUUAGAAUGAUCAACUUACAUAAACACAACUGAGCCUGGGUCAGCUGAGGUCAGGACUCGGGACUCGUGUGAUGUCCAUCAGUAGCAGACAGCUGACUGGGGAUCAGGAUCUGCCAUACGCUCCCACGCUUCCCUCCGUCUGUCCCUCCGUCUCUAAUCACGAUGACCUCUAUCAUGACCUGCAAUCAGCUCAGAGUUCACUAGUGGAAACACUAUGAGGAGUUUUGGACCGUCUCCACAGACCCAAGGACAGAUAAACUGAACGGGAUCAAACAUGUGCACCACGAUCUGAGACAUAGACAGUACAUAGCUGAAUGUGUGUGUAUAUAUGGACAGUAUAUAGCUAAAUGUGGGUCUCCUUUUGUCUCUUAUCGGCUCCUGUUAUCUCUCAUUGUCUCCUAUUGUGCUCUUCUUGUCUCAUUUUUACUCAGAUGUUCCCCUAUUGUCUCCAAAUGUCUUCAUAGGGUGUAGAAGUAACCACCCGUCCUCGGGAAGUUAAGUGAGACAUUCUAAAUGUUUCUCAGAGAUGGAUCCUUGGCUCAUGUGAGAUGAAUCUCUGAGAUCACGAGAGAGAUCAGAUCUCAACUCACUUCUUCGUCGCCGCAAAACUAUUCGUCCUUUCAAGUUUUGAGAUGAAGUUGGCGGGUUAUUUCUCUUAAACUAGCGUUUUAUUUAAAGCUGAGUCUGUCAAAUGGAUGUUUGAUGCGGGUCUCUGGGGGACCAGCGAGAAGCGAGUGAAGGGAGACACGGGCGUCAAUUAAGAGACAGACACUUCAAAAUGGAGGCGAUUAAACUUGGAAAUCUUUAAAAUGCUCCCCAAUGAAUUGUCUUCUCUGAGGAAAAAAGUCCCCAAAGUUCACAGUUUGAUUCCACAGCAAGAAAAGAGGACAGACAAGUGCUAUUUAUUUUCGUGCCAACAUGUCUCCUCCUCAAUGUCCCUGUCUCUGUGCACUUUCAACCUGUCAUAGAUUCUAAAGAGGGACGUCAGGAAAAAAUGAGGCCACCUCGUAUGACACUUUGAAAGACAUGUCCCCUCCUAUGAGACGCUUUAUAAGACAGGACACCUCGUAUGACAUGCUUUAAGAGACAGAAAACCUUGUAUGAGACGUUUAUAAAACAGGACACCUCGUAUGAGACGUUUAUAAGAUAGGAAACUUCUUAUGAGACGUUUAUAAGACAUGACACCUCGUAUGAGACACUUUGAAAGACAGCACACCUCUUAAGAGAGACGUUUAUGAAACAGGACACCUUGUAUGAGACACUUUGAAAGAUAAGACCCUCUUCUAUGUAAUGUAAUGUAAAGUGAAGAAAGAAACUGAGUCUGAAGGUUUCCAACAGAACACUGUGAAGGCUGGAAGAAUCUGAAGGUUCUCAUCAGAACCCCUUGAUGAGAGGAACUGAGUCUGAGGAACUAAGGCUCUCCAGUAGAACCACCACACACCCUGUUUAUUUCCCCAUAUAUUACACGUUUCGUAAAGCUCUUAAACCCUUAAAGAGAUACACACCCUGUUUACUGCGUCUCUUAUCGUCUUUCCCCUCCUGAUUAAAGGGGAGGACAUCUCUGAUUACAGCGAUCACGUUGACUCACUCUUCCAAUAGAUUUGAUUAUAUGGCCUUUAACAUUGUCAAUUGUAUAUUGUAUAUAAUAUACUAAUAAUGAUAUAUUAAUCAUUGAUUAAGAAUGAUAAUAAAUUAUGAUGCAGUAUGAACACAAUCAGAAGAAAAAUAAUAAUUUGCAUACAAGUUAACGAAUGUGUUUGCUGCUGUGGUUUUUAUAGACUGUAUUGAUUGAUUUUUCUUUUAACUCAAAGUUCAUGGCUUCACUGAUUUAAUUUGAAUUUAAAAUAAAAAAAAUGUUCUUCUCUCAGUCUGAAAUAUGUCAUGCUCCGGAGGUGAAGUAUAUCUUAAAUUAAAUGAAAUAGAUAGAAGAUAACUUUCUCUGUCUGCAUUUUAUACAUUUUUCAGGUUUUAAGGUUUUUACGGUCAGGCGCAGGUUGCUAGGCAGCGGGAGCGGCAGAAAAGCUGGACCGUAGGACAGGCCGCCAUUUCAGGGACCGCUUCGUUCACCCUAUGUGGUCCUUGAAGGACCCGGCCAGACCAGAGGGGUCCUUCAAGGAUGCACCCGACUAGAUACAGCUACUGUUUUGACCCUAUAGUAAAGAUGACCUGGACUACAUUACCCAUAAUCCUCUGUUGAUGCAAUUUAAUGAAAUAUAAGUUUAUGAACUAUACAUGUAAAGACAAAACAAAAUAUUUUCUGAAAUCAAUCAUUGUUUUAUAUGGACUGAAAUAUGAGCACUAAUCUAAAUAUAUUGUGAAAAAGUGUCACCUCAAAGGCAUGGAUCCAUCCAUCCAUCCAUCCAUCCAUCGUCAAACCGCUUAUCCUGCACACAGGGUCACGGGGCGGCUGGAGUCCAUCCCAGCCAACUUCGGGCGAGAGACGGGGUACACCCUGGAUUGGUCACCAGCCAAUCGCAGGGCUAUACAGAGACACACAACCAUUCACACUCACAUUCAUACACAAUUUAGAGUCCCCAAUUGACCUGAUCCCCAGAGCAUGUCUUUGGACUGUGGGAGGAACCCGGAGAACCCGGAGAGAACCCACGCAGACACGGGGAGAACAUGCAGACUCCACACAGAAAGGCCACUGGGCGGAAUCGAACCCAGGACCUUCUUGCUGUGAGGCAACAGUGCAAACCACCACACCACCGUGACGCCGCCAAAGGCAUGGAUGACAAAGAAAAAAAGUCGUCCAAUUACACAGUAGGAUAAUUGAGCUCUCGGCUAGAUAAUGAGGUCUAAAGCCCCCCCCCCAGGAUAAUCCGCCCGGUUAAUGACCUCAUCACAUGUCGAUCUCCAGAAUCAGAGUGUUCAAACAGAGCAUAAGUACACAGGGGGGGCUGGAAGAAGGAGUUAGAGGUCUGAACUGAAUUCUCUCUGCUGAUUUAAAUCCUCAUAUUUAGUGUAAUUAUGACAACAAAAUCAAAUAAACACUGAUGUUUUCAGUCUGAAUCACAACCAUUAGAUGUAUUACAUUACAGGUAAUUUAGCUGACGCUUUUAUCCAAAGUGACUUACAUCGCAUUUUUAACCCAUGGCUUUCUACAUUUUUGCCCGGGGAGCAAUUAGGGGUUAGGUGUCUUGCUCAGGGACACUUUGACAUGGGACAUGAAGCAGCUGGGGCUCAAACCCCCAACCUUGCGGUUCCCGGCGCACCCUCUCUACCCCAACACGUCCUGAGAGAUGGACUGGGACAGCAUCUCAGACACCAGGUUCAUGUGUCCCUGAUUGCGAAAGCGAGACAGCAACAAUGGGUCCGUCUGCCAGGAACAAAUGUCCCCCCAGAGGUGAGAGCAGCUGAGCAAUACCUCCGUCAAUACGCAGAUUAUAGACCUGAUCAAUAUCUCCAUCAAUACACAGAUCAUAAACCUGAUCAAUACCUCCGUCAAUAAGCAGAUCAUAGACCUGAUCAAUAUCUCCAUCAAUACACAAAUCAUAAACCUGAUCAAUACCUCCGCCAAUAAGCAGAUCAUAGACCUGAUCAAUAUCUCCAUCAAUACACAGAUCAUAAACCUGAUCAAUACCUCCGUCAAUACACAGAUCAUAAACCUGAUCAAUACCUCCGUCAAUAAGCAGAUCAUAGACCUGAUCAAUAAAACAUUUCUGCUCUGUUAUUAUUAGUCAUGGAGUUAUUAAUAUAUUUUCAAUGGCUCCAAUAAUAAUAUUAUAUCAUACUGCAUAGUAUGAUAUAAAAUGAUAUAAUGUAAAUUAAUACAGUAAACUGUAAUAUUAAGUUAUAGUAUUUGAUAAAAUAAUACAAAGUAAUACAACACAAUGUAAUAUAAUGUAAUACAAUACAAUAUAACACAAUGUAUAAUGACAGUCAGCCCAUUUAACAGUUUUUUGUGCUUCGCAGGUCUCCAUAGAUCGUGGCUACUGGUACACAGGCACCUAGGCUACUGGUACAGUGGUACACAGGCUACUGGUACACAGGCUACAGGUACACAGGCUACUGGUACAGUGGUAUACAGGCUACACUGGUACACUGGUACACAGGCUACACUGGUUUACAGGCUACUGGUAGACUAGUACACAGGCUACACUGGUAUACAGCCUACUGGUACAAUGGUACACUGGUAUACAGGCUACACUGGUCGGCUAGUACACAUGCUACACUGGUAUACAGCCUACUGGUACACUGGUACACGGGCUACUGGUACUCUGGUAUACAGGCUACGCUGGUAUACAGGCUACACGGGUAUACAGGCUACUGGUACACGGGCUACUGGUACUCUGGUAUACAGGCUACGCUGGUAUACAGGCUACACUGGUAUACAGGCUACUGGUACACAGGCUACUGGUACUCUGGUAUACAGGCUACGCUGGUAUACAGGCUACUGGUACACAGGCUACUGGUACACUGGUAUUCAGGCUACACUGGUACACACGUUACUGGUACACUGGUAUACGGGCUACUGGUACACUGGAUACUGUAAGAUGAGGCCGUCAAGCAAAGGAAGUGAAGAGACGGUGGACAGUAACCCUUGAGUGGAGGAAAGAUCUUGUGGCUGAUUGUGUGAUGAUCACCCCCCCCCUCCCCCCAUCUGCCCGAGGACCUGGGCCACUUUCUUUUGUUUGCUCGGAUAUCAAUGAUAUUGUAAUUACCAUGUAAUUACAAUAUCAUUGCACUCCCAUCACACCCGUCACUAAUGAGCAUGAAUCCCACUUCCUGCUGCAGAGUCCACUAACCGAAGCUGGAUUAGACAAUGGGCCCCGGGGCACAGACAUGAGGAAGCCACCCCCGCCCUCCCUUUAUCCCUCCUUCAUAAGAGAAAGACCCUAAGACUGAAAAGGACACACAAAAACAAAGAGACACAAAAAUGAGCAUAAAGAAAAACAAAAUACACACAAAGAGACGUAUUAUGGUUGUUUGCUUGGUGGUGUUGUGGUCUUUUUGUUAUCGUUUUGAGGUUUGAGUCUCCUUAAUGUAGUUCUUUGGCUAUUUUGUGUUUUUUUGUGUUUUUUAAUGUUGUUUUGUUGUUCUGUUUUUUUUUUUCUUGGUAUUUUGUUGGUUCGUUUUGUCAAACUUUGUGUUUGUUUUGUAGUAGUUGUGUUUAUUGUGCACGAGGCCCCCAGGGCCCGUUCAGUAAUCCAUGCUGCUAAUAUCAGGAUGACGGGAGUCGGCAGCAGAGAUAUAAAUACCCCGGUGGAGGUAGUUGCAUGUGUAGCAUGCUGUUAUUGUCUCGGAGCUGUCAGCACGUUUGAAGAGACGACUAUGCAUCGCUGCUCCGUACACAAACGUGACACAAGAUCGGACGUGUGCGUGAAUCCUGUU